This 1009-nucleotide long non-coding RNA is filed under the name Malus domestica (apple). RNAcentral's name for it is "long non-coding RNA (MDOM_LNC007233)". The record is from RNAcentral. Lineage: Eukaryota; Viridiplantae; Streptophyta; Magnoliopsida; Rosales; Rosaceae.
GCUUUGGUAACUCAGCAAGUUUGCAGUCUGUUUCAUGCAUCUCUUUCUCUACUGUGCCAUUAUCCUCUUCAACUGAUUCUGAUUGGUUCACAUUCUCUUUGAGUUCAUCCAAAGUUUCAGCAACUUCUAUUCUAUCCCCGUCCUCUUCAUGUGCAGGUACCUCCAGAGUUUCUUCUACAUCCUUGUCAUAUUCUGCAUGUCCAGUGGGCCCCUGUUUUUCGUUUAGGUCCUCACCGUCACCCUCCUCACAUAGGCUAUUAGUUGCCUCAAAAUUGCAGUCUAUUUCAUGCAUCUCUUUCUCUACUGUGCCAUUAUCCUUUUCAACUGAUUCUGACUGGUUCACAUUCUCUUUGAGUUCAUCCAAAGUUUCAGCAACUUCUAUUCUAUCCCCGUUCUCUUCAUGUGCAGGUACCUCUAGAGUUUCUUCUACAUCCUUGUCAUACUCCGCAUGUCCAGUGGACGCCUCUUUUUCGUUUAGGUCCUCACUGUCACCCUCCUCACAUAGGUUAUUAGUUGCCUCAAAAUUGCAGUCUGUUUCAUGCAUCUCUUUCUCUACCCUGCCAUUAUCCUCUUCAACUGAUUCUGACUGGUCCACAUUCUCUUUGAGUUCAUCCAAAGUUUCAGCAACUUCUAUUCUAUCCCCGUCCUCUUCAUGUGCAGGUACCUCCAGAGUUUCUUCUACAUCCUUGGCAUACUCUGCAUGUCCAGUGGACCGCUCUUUUUCACUUAGGUCCUCACUGUCACCCUCCUCACAUAGGUUAUUAGUUGCCUUAAAAUUGCAGUCUGUUUCAUGCAUCUCUUUCUCUACUGUGCCAUUAUCCUCUUCAACUGAUUCUGAAUGGUCCACAUUCUCUUUGAGUUCAUCCAAAGUUUCGGCAACUUCUAUUCUAUUCCCGUCCUCUUCAUGUGCAGGUACCUCCAGAGUUUCUUCUACAUCCUUGGCAUACUCUGCAUGACCAGUGGGCCCCUCUUUUUCAUUUAGGUCCUCACUGUCACCCUCUUCACAUAG